Molecule: long non-coding RNA, 613 nt
Organism: Hypanus sabinus (Atlantic stingray)
Lineage: Eukaryota; Metazoa; Chordata; Chondrichthyes; Myliobatiformes; Dasyatidae
Exons: 3
Source: RefSeq, a predicted model, not a curated record
GAGUAAAGUUGGAUUUGAGUGUUGAAAUCUGGUGAGAGGAGAAGGGAAUGAUGCGAUGAUCUGAGGCUGUGAAAAGGUGUUUGACAGGGUUUUUUUGAAGACCCUGACCUGGACUUACACGCAGCCUUCGGUUCUUUGCGGGAAUGGGACCUGUUCUCGAGAUUCCACGACUGGCCAUUAUUCGACAUGCCAAGAGUUUGACCUGAGAGUCUUGACCGUGUUCGGAAGUCUAGGAUUUCGAGGCUCUGGGGAUGGGCCAAUCGAGGGUCAGUCUCAUGGCAGGAGACUCGUGUGUUGUUGGGGUGGCCAGAAAAUCUUUCGCUGUGGACCCGAGGUCUUUGUGAUCUUCAGAAAUAGAGUUUGAAAAAGUGGCAAAAUGGACUUGUAAACUAGCGGGUUGUUGUCUCCCGCUCACUGUGAAAAUGGGGGACACCUCCCUCUCCUUUGCCAGGGUAUAUCAAAUGUCGGAUGAAAUGCGAAGCCUUUGGGGUAACUUUGGUCUGUGACUUUGCUAUUGCUUAGCACACGCUUGGUUUUGGUGUUAGUACCGAUGCAUGUUUUUUUUCUGGUGGGGGGAGGGAGGAUUGUUUCUCACUGCCGCUUAUGCAUAGGA